Molecule: ribosomal RNA, 1130 nt
Filed under: human gut metagenome
Description: bacterial SSU rRNA
Rfam family: Bacterial small subunit ribosomal RNA
Source: RNAcentral
AUCUAGGCUGAAGCUUGUCGCGUGCGGGAUGGAGGCUUCGGGUUGUAAACCGCUUUUGAUCGGGAGCAAGCCCUUCGGGGUGAGUGUACCUUUCGAAUAAGCACCGGCUAACUACGUGCCAGCAGCCGCGGUAAUACGUAGGGUGCAAGCGUUAUCCGGAAUUAUUGGGCGUAAAGGGCUCGUAGGCGGUUCGUCGCGUCCGGUGUGAAAGCCCAUCGCUUAACGGUGGGUCUGCGCCGGGUACGGGCGGGCUGGAGUGCGGUAGGGGAGACUGGAAUUCCCGGUGUAACGGUGGAAUGUGUAGAUAUCGGGAAGAACACCAAUGGCGAAGGCAGGUCUCUGGGCCGUCACUGACGCUGAGGAGCGAAAGCGUGGGGAGCGAACAGGAUUAGAUACCCUGGUAGUCCACGCCGUAAACGGUGGAUGCUGGAUGUGGGGCCCGUUCCACGGGUUCCGUGUCGGAGCUAACGCGUUAAGCAUCCCGCCUGGGGAGUACGGCCGCAAGGCUAAAACUCAAAGAAAUUGACGGGGGCCCGCACAAGCGGCGGAGCAUGCGGAUUAAUUCGAUGCAACGCGAAGAACCUUACCUGGGCUUGACAUGUUCCCGACAGCCGUAGAGAUAUGGCCUCCCUUCGGGGCGGGUUCACAGGUGGUGCAUGGUCGUCGUCAGCUCGUGUCGUGAGAUGUUGGGUUAAGUCCCGCAACGAGCGCAACCCUCGCCCUGUGUUGCCAGCACGUCAUGGUGGGAACUCACGGGGGACCGCCGGGGUCAACUCGGAGGAAGGUGGGGAUGACGGUCGAUCAUCAUGCCCCUUACGUCCAGGGCUUCACGCAUGCUACAAUGGCCGGUACAGCGGGAUGCGACUUGGCGACUUGGAGCGGAUCCCUGAAAACCGGUCUCAGUUCGGAUUGGAGUCUGCAACCCGACUCCCUGAAGGCGGAGUCGCUAGUAAUCGCGGAUCAGCACGCCGCGGUGAAUGCGUUCCCGGGCUGUUCACACCGCCGGCCAGUCUUGAAUUGGCCGCACCCGAAACCGGUGCCUCACCCCUUGUGGGUAUGAGCCGUCUAGGGUGAGGCUCGUGAGUGGGACUUAGCUCGUAACAGGGUUCGCGUGCCGGAAGGUCCGGCUG